Molecule: long non-coding RNA, 2789 nt
Organism: Cygnus olor (mute swan)
Lineage: Eukaryota; Metazoa; Chordata; Aves; Anseriformes; Anatidae
Exons: 5
Source: RefSeq, a predicted model, not a curated record
CAAAUGCCACUUUGUCCUGGCCCUCACCUCAAACGGCUUUCAGCACCCUAAAGGAACUGACCGAACCAAACCACGGCACACUCCUGGCCACUCCUUUCCAGCACUGUGCCAGACAAUAGUCCACGCUCUACAGGACAGGUAACAUCACCAUAACCCACACCCUACCAUGACCUCAUAGCAAGCAGCCAGGUGACACGCUCGGGCCAGGACAACAGUGACAGCUCCAUCAGGAUGACGGGACAUGGACAGCCUCGGUGAGACGUUAGAGACUCUUGGGCAGAGAGGCAGGGGCUGCCCGUGGUCACAGGGGGAUGCUGCUCCGUUUGGUGCUUCUUCUCUUUCAGUCAGAAACAUACAGCGAUGGGACAAGACCAUGGCACGCUCCUGGCCUCUCUGCCCUUGACCACUCAGCUGGAAGGAAGAGCUGCCAACGCUCUACAGGACAGCUGGACUCACUGACAGUGAGGGAACGAUGCCAUGGCACACUCCUGGCCUCUCUCCCCUUGAGAAGUCAGCUGGAAAAGGUGUCAACGCUCUCCAGGACAGGUAAGAUAGUACCAACCCACACCCCUCCACGGUCUCAUAGCAAGCAGGACAGUGACAUGCUCGGGCCAGGACGGCAGUGACCGCUCCAUCAGGACGACGGGACACGGAUAGCCUCGGUGAGAUGCUAGAGACUCUUGGGCAGAGAGGCAGGGGCCGCCCGUGGUCACAGGGGGAUGCUGCUCCGUUUGGUGCUUCUUCUCUUUCGGCCAGAAUCACACAGCGAUGGGACCAGGCCACGGCACAAUCCUGGCCUCACUGCUCUUGACCACUCAGCUGGAAGGAAGAGCUGCCAAUGCUCUACAGGACAGGUAAGAUCACCCCAACCCACACCCACCACGGUUCACAGCAAGCAGCCAGGUGACACGAUCGGACCAGGACGACAGUGACCACUCCAUCAGGACGACGGGACACGGACAGCCUCGGUGAGACGUUAGAGACUCUUGGGCAGAGAGGCAGGGGCUGCCCGUGGUCACAGGGGGAUGCUGCUCCGUUUGGUGCUUCUUCUCUUUCAGCCAGAAUCACACAGCGAUGGGACCAGGCCACGGCACAAUCCUGGCCUCACUGCUCUUGACCACUCAGCUGGAAGGAAGAGCUGCCAACGCUCUACAGGACAGGUAAGAUCGCCCCAACCCACACCCACCACGGUUCACAGCAAGCAGCCAGGUGACACGAUCGGACCAGGACGACAGUGACCACUCCAUCAGGACGACGGGACACGGACAGCCUCGGUGAGACGUUAGAGACUCUUGGGCAGAGAGGCAGGGGCUGCCCGUGGUCACAGGGGGAUGCUGCUCCGUUUGGUGCUUCUUCUCUUUCAGUCAGAAACAUACAGCGAUGGGACAAGACCUUGGCACGCUCCUGGCCUCUCUGCCCUUGAGAAUUCAGCUGGAAGGAAGAGCUGCCAACGCUCUACAGGAUAACUGGACUCACUGACAGUGAGGGAACGAUGCCAUGGCACACUCCUGGCCUCUCUCCCCUUGAGAAGUCAGCUGGAAAAGGUGUCAACGCUCUCCAGGACAGGUAAGAUAGUACCAACCCACACCCCUCCACGGUCUCAUAGCAAGCAGGACAGUGACAUGCUCGGGCCAGGACGGCAGUGACCGCUCCAUCAGGACGACGGGACACGGAUAGCCUCGGUGAGAUGCUAGAGACUCUUGGGCAGAGAGGCAGGGGCCGCCCGUGGUCACAGGGGGAUGCUGCUCCGUUUGGUGCUUCUUCUCUUUCAGCCAGAAUCACACAGCGAUGGGACCAGGCCACGGCACAAUCCUGGCCUCACUGCUCUUGACCACUCAGCUGGAAGGAAGAGCUGCCAACGCUCUACAGGACAGGUAAGAUCGCCCCAACCCACACCCACCACGGUUCACAGCAAGCAGCCAGGUGACACGAUCGGACCAGGACGACAGUGACCACUCCAUCAGGACGACGGGACACGGACAGCCUCGGUGAGACGUUAGAGACUCUUGGGCAGAGAGGCAGGGGCUGCCCGUGGUCACAGGGGGAUGCUGCUCCGUUUGGUGCUUCUUCUCUUUCAGUCAGAAACAUACAGCGAUGGGACAAGACCUUGGCACGCUCCUGGCCUCUCUGCCCUUGAGAAUUCAGCUGGAAGGAAGAGCUGCCAACGCUCUACAGGAUAACUGGACUCACUGACAGUGAGGGAACGAUGCCAUGGCACACUCCUGGCCUCUCUCCCCUUGAGAAGUCAGCUGGAAAAGGUGUCAACGCUCUCCAGGACAGGUAAGAUAGUACCAACCCACACCCCUCCACGGUCUCAUAGCAAGCAGGACAGUGACAUGCUCGGGCCAGGACGGCAGUGACCGCUCCAUCAGGACGACGGGACACGGAUAGCCUCGGUGAGAUGCUAGAGACUCUUGGGCAGAGAGGCAGGGGCCGCCCGUGGUCACAGGGGGAUGCUGCUCCGUUUGGUGCUUCUUCUCUUUCAGUCAGAAACAUACAGCGAUGGGACAAGACCAUGGCACGCUCCUGGCCUCUCUGCCCUUGAGAAUUCAGCUGGAAGGAAGAGCUGCCAACGCUCUACAGGACAGAUAAGCGAUCCCUAACCCAUACCCCACCACAGUCUCACAGCAUGCCAGAUGACAUGGUUGGGCUAUGAGGGGCAUUUCCUGGCCCUCAGGGAGACGUGAGAUGGACAGCCUUGGAGUGAGGCUGGGAGAGCCUUGCUCAGGGAGGAAGGGAUGGCUUUCAGUGUUGGCAGGGGGUGGCUGCUCUGUUUGUCACCUCCUCUA